Triplophysa dalaica is the source of this 521-nucleotide long non-coding RNA. RefSeq lists it as uncharacterized. The record is from RefSeq and is a predicted model, not a curated record. NCBI's taxonomy places the organism in Eukaryota, Metazoa, Chordata, Actinopteri, Cypriniformes, Nemacheilidae. The transcript is spliced from 3 exons.
AUUCCGUUCACUACCACAAGAGGCGCACUGCUGCGCUCUAAUCUCUAUUGGAGCGAUGACUUUUGACCAAAUUAUAAUUUCGUUUAUAAGCCUGUUCACGUAGCUGUCCAACUGUGAAAAGCAGGCAGCAUAUGGAUGAGCGAUGUGUCAUGGAGUUUCUCAUCGCAGCAGGCACUGACAGCAGGGCCUCUUCACAACGAGCAGCAACAAAGCCAGCUACUGUACAACAGUCCCUGGGGUUGCAGUGAAGCACAGUUGUAUGUCUUCUUUACACUGGAUUGUAACAGGUCAAAGGUCUUAUUUCACAUUCCAUUAAAUGUUAUACAUUCCAUGCGCUGGAAAAAAAGAUGAGGAAAUGGAGCAUACAAGCGGAGCACCAGAAAUGGGCAAAAAACAUUUUGGUUCAUGUAUAUUAUGUUUAUUGUAUAUGUAUGAAUAACAAUAAGCUUAGUGUGAAAACACAACAAUAUUUUUUGCUUUAUUCAAUGUAAAAUUAUUUCGGUUUGUUGAGUAUGUAUCAG